AUACGGAGGAUGCAAGCGUUAUCCGGAUUUAUUGGGUUUAAAGGGUGCGUAGGCGGACAGUCAAGCAGGGGGUGAAAUGCCGGCGCUCAACGCCGGAGCUGCCUUCCGAACUGGCUGUCUGGAGUGGCAGUGACGUUGGAGGAAUGAGUGGUGUAGCGGUGUAAUGCUUAGAUAUCACUCAGAACACCGAUUGCGAAGGCAUCUGACGAACUGCCCACUGACGCUGAGGCACGAAAGCGUGGGGAUCAAACAGGAUUAGAUACCCUGGUAGUCCACGCAGUAAACGAUGAUGACUAACUGCCGGCCCGUUGCGGGUCGGUGGCCAAGCGAAAGCGAUAAGUCAUCCACCUGGGGAGUACGACCGCAAGGUUGAAACUUAAAGGAAUUGACGGGG
Molecule: ribosomal RNA, 394 nt
Filed under: uncultured bacterium
Lineage: Bacteria
Description: partial 16S ribosomal RNA
Rfam family: Bacterial small subunit ribosomal RNA
Source: RNAcentral